This 101-nucleotide microRNA precursor is filed under the name Mustela putorius furo (domestic ferret). RNAcentral describes it as "miRNA (ENSMPUG00000023798.1)". The record is from RNAcentral. Lineage: Eukaryota; Metazoa; Chordata; Mammalia; Carnivora; Mustelidae.
CAUGUAAUAAAUGUCACAUAUAUAUACUUUAUAUAUGUGUGUGUGUGUGUGUGUGUGUGUGUGUGUAUAUAUAUAUAUAUAUAUAUAUACUAUAUAUAUAU